This is a long non-coding RNA of Pan troglodytes (chimpanzee), 1073 nucleotides long. RefSeq lists it as uncharacterized. The transcript has 5 exons. NCBI's taxonomy places the organism in Eukaryota, Metazoa, Chordata, Mammalia, Primates, Hominidae. The record is from RefSeq and is a predicted model, not a curated record.
ACCUUCGAUAAUGCACUAGCAAAGAGAAGCCCGAAGAGGCUGAAGUUUCCACGGAGGGCACCGUCGGGGAGACGCAGCCCGGGAGGACGGGAGGGUUGGGCUCGCUACCUCUGCACACGGGCGAGCCGGGGCUCCGUCUCUCAGCAUGUGACACCUUCUGCCAUGAGAUGAUGCUACAAGAAGAAUCUCACCGACUGCUGGCACCUUGAUACUGGACUUCACAGCCUCCAGAAUUGUGAGCCAAGAUGGAAUUUUGCCAUGUUGCCUAAGCUGGCCUUGAACUCCCGACCUCAAGCAAUCCUCCCGCCUCAGCCUCCCAAAGUGCUGGGAUUACAGGUGUGAGCCACCACAUCUGGCCAUAAUUUCUUAUUAUGCUAAACUAUCAUAUACAACUACCAGAAUCCUUUUAGCCCUUGCCUAAAACCCUCUACUCAGAAGGCACACAGAAGACACACAGAUAAUCCAUUUUAAAGCGAGAAAACAAGAUAAUUCAAGAAAAUUUAGAAGAAAAUGGAUUUCUCAGGCAACUGAAGGAACAUAUUUGGAUCUGUUAAGAUGAAAGGAGACUUCAAGAGAACUGGACUUUGUGUUGGACAGGCUGUCUGUGACAGGGAAAAACCCCUUCUGAAUGAUUAGGGAUGAAUCAGUUAACUGGCUUGAGUUUCACAUUCUUCAUCUGUAAAAUCUGGUGAUUAGACUGGUCCAGCAAAAGAUAUAAUGGGCAAAAGAUAUAAUACACAUAAAUUGGAAUGAAUCUGCAUUUUCCAAGCCUGAUGACUUUAUUAAAACUGAAUUAAGUCACUAACUAGCAGCCUGAAGAUGAAAGGAAAGAACUCAGUCAUGCUUCUUAAGGUAAAAGGGCAGUCUAACUGAGAAUUUUGUUAUCUCUGAGGACAAAUUACAAGGAGAUAAAGACACUCAAGAUCACAAGGAAGGCUUCUGCUCCCACUUAGAGACUGCAAUGUAAGGUAUGGAAACAGAAUAUUCUCUAUAGAAACAUACAUGUUAAAAUAUGAACAUUUUUGUUCUUAUUUCAAUCCAAAAAUAAAUAAAUGAAUUAAAUGUCAAAGAUA